CAACUCGCAAGUCAGAAACAUUGUGCGGAGAUUGGAAAGUUCUCGAGCACACCAAGACUUUCGAAAAGCUAACGUACGAUAAUGCCCGGGAUGCAUGCCGCAAGAACGUCGGGUUUUUCCUGCCAAGCGAGGCACUAUGGAAUAACGUAUUGAUGGAAAUGAAGACUGGCAAUGCUGAAUGCAGAGAACUUGCCGCAACGUUUGACAAAAUCCCUCUCUGGUUCACAAGGCAUGGGAAAGAAAGAGGUUUUGCAUUGUUUUCAUCGGUUUGUGUGGGAGCACGUCUGCCAGGUGGCGCAGUCUCCAGCCGCGGCAUUCGCCGAGACGAAGGUGUCAACUACAUUGAGGAGAGCGGUAAUGUGAAGUGUCUGGACGGCUACCGGACAUCAUUGCGUGAGAGCAUACCCGCCAGGCCAUAUAAGGGUAUCUGGCAGAACACUGCUGGUUGCUACAAGUAUGUGAGUAAACAAGGGGACAGUCUCAGUCGCUUCAGAGAAGACGGGAGCCCAGCUGGCAC
This is a long non-coding RNA of Sycon ciliatum, 517 nucleotides long. RefSeq lists it as uncharacterized. Lineage: Eukaryota; Metazoa; Porifera; Calcarea; Leucosolenida; Sycettidae. The transcript has 3 exons. The record is from RefSeq and is a predicted model, not a curated record.